This 253-nucleotide ribosomal RNA is filed under the name uncultured bacterium. RNAcentral's name for it is "partial 16S ribosomal RNA". It matches the Rfam family "Bacterial small subunit ribosomal RNA", at positions 524 to 776 of the family's 1533-position model. The record is from RNAcentral.
UACGUAGGGUCCGAGCGUUGUCCGGAAUUAUUGGGCGUAAAGAGCUCGUAGGCGGUUUGUCGCGUCUGCUGUGAAAUCCCGAGGCUCAACCUCGGGUCUGCAGUGGGUACGGGCAGACUGGAGUGCGGUAGGGGAGAAUGGAAUUCCUGGUGUAGCGGUGGAAUGCGCAGAUAUCAGGAAGAACACCCGUGGCUAAGGCGGCUCGCUAGUACGGUACUGACGCUGAGACGCGAAAGCGUGGGGAGCGAACAGG